UCCUCCGCUGCACCAGAUUUCAUCUCGGUGGCUUGCAAAUCUGCCUUGGCGAUUUGUUUUGGUUGUUGUCAUAAAAGUCACAAGGUUCCAGCAACCUUUUUGGUUGUGAGAAAGAGGAUUCGGAUUCGGGAUGCGCACUUCGACAUAGAGGUUGAUUAGCUUGAUCUACAUUGGAGGCGGGUACCUUGACUUAUCUUUUAGAUAAUGUCAUGUUAUAUGCUUAGUAGAUUUUAACAAGUAGUAAUAAUUAUGUUUAUAUCUGCAUCGGUAUGUCACUAUUUGUUUUUGAGCAUGUUUUGUUUGUUACCUGUUUAGCAUUCAUGCCCCUGUUUAUUAUUUAUGUUAUAGAGGUAGUGACAUACUAUGCCAUGUGAUAUACCGGACUAGUCAUUUACCAUAUCUGACCUGUGUACCUAGAUCUGUUUAUUUGAUCCAUUUAUUUUUUGUACA
Molecule: long non-coding RNA, 450 nt
Organism: Zingiber officinale
Lineage: Eukaryota; Viridiplantae; Streptophyta; Magnoliopsida; Zingiberales; Zingiberaceae
Exons: 2
Source: RefSeq, a predicted model, not a curated record